This 333-nucleotide ribosomal RNA is filed under the name uncultured eukaryote. RNAcentral's name for it is "partial 18S ribosomal RNA". It matches the Rfam family "Eukaryotic small subunit ribosomal RNA", at positions 1470 to 1796 of the family's 1831-position model. The record is from RNAcentral.
CCCUUAGAUGUUCGGGGCCGCACGCGCGCUACACUGAAUGAAUCAGCGAGUGUAUGUCCUAGGCCGAAAGGUCCGGGUAACCCGUUGAACCUCAUUCGUGAUUGGGAUAGGGACUUGCAAUUGUUUCCCUUGAACGAGGAAUUCCCAGUAAGCGCAAGUCAUCAACUUGCGUUGAUUACGUCCCUGCCCUUUGUACACACCGCCCGUCGCUACUACCGAUUGAACGGUUUAGUGAGGGCCUCGGAUUGGUCUCGGCCCGCUCUUUACCGGGCGGCGCCGUUGGUCGAGAAGACGCUCGAACUUGAUCGUUUAGAGGAAGUAAAAGUCGUAACA